This 339-nucleotide ribosomal RNA is filed under the name Bacteroides caecicola. RNAcentral's name for it is "partial 23S ribosomal RNA". It matches the Rfam family "Bacterial large subunit ribosomal RNA", at positions 1 to 349 of the family's 2925-position model. Lineage: Bacteria; Pseudomonadati; Bacteroidota; Bacteroidia; Bacteroidales; Bacteroidaceae. The record is from RNAcentral.
UACGGAAAUAGAUAAGGGCGUACGGUGGAUGCCUAGGCUCUCGGAGGCGAUGAAGGACGUGGCAAGCUGCGAGAAGCCGCGGGGAGGUGCAAGCAACCUUUGAUCCGCGGAUAUCCGAAUGGGACAACCCGGUGUCCUGAAGGGACACCAUCCCGCACAGCGGGAGGCUAACGCAGGGAACUGAAACAUCUUAGUACCUGCAGGAAAAGAAAAUAACAAUGAUUCCCCCAGUAGUGGCGAGCGAACGGGGAAGAGCCCAAACCCGCCCUGUUACGGCAGGACGGGGGUUGUAGGACUGCGGCAUCGCAUGAACGAUGGCGAGCGGAACGCUCUGGAAAG